This 379-nucleotide unclassified non-coding RNA is filed under the name uncultured Alphaproteobacteria bacterium. RNAcentral describes it as "contains 16S-23S intergenic spacer region". The record is from RNAcentral. Lineage: Bacteria; Pseudomonadati; Pseudomonadota; Alphaproteobacteria.
UCCGGCUUGUCGCCGGCGGUCCCUUUAGAGUGCCCAACUGAAUGAUGGCAACUAAAGACGAGGGUUGCGCUCGUUGCGGGACUUAACCCAACAUUUCACAACACGAGCUGACGACAGCCAUGCAGCACCUCUGUUCCAGCCAGCCGAACUGAAGAGCCUCAUCUCUGAAGCCCAUACUGGACAUGUCAAGGGUUGGUAAGGUUCUGCGCGUUGCUUCGAAUUGAACCACAUGCUCCACCGCUUGUGCGGGCCCCCGUCAAUUCCUUUGAGUUUUAAUCUUGCGACCGUACUCCCCAGGCGGGAAGCUUAAUGCGUUAGCUGCGCCACCGACAAGUAAACUUGCCAACGGCUAGCUUCCAUCGUUUACGGCGUGGACUAC